UACGGAGGGAGCUAGCGUUGUUCGGAUAUACUGGGCGUAAAGCGCACGUAGGCGGCGCCGUAAGUCAGGGGUGAAAUCCCGGAGCUCAACUCCGGAACUGCCCUUGAAACUGCAGUGCUAGAAUCUUGGAGAGGCGAGUGGAAUUCCGAGUGUAGAGGUGAAAUUCGUAGAUAUCGGGAGGAACACCAGUGGCGAAGGCGGCUACCUGGGCCAGUUCUGACGCUGAGGCGCGAAAGCGUGGGGAGCAAACAGG
This 253-nucleotide ribosomal RNA is filed under the name uncultured bacterium. RNAcentral's name for it is "partial 16S ribosomal RNA". It matches the Rfam family "Bacterial small subunit ribosomal RNA", at positions 524 to 776 of the family's 1533-position model. The record is from RNAcentral.